Molecule: long non-coding RNA, 388 nt
Organism: Orcinus orca (killer whale)
Lineage: Eukaryota; Metazoa; Chordata; Mammalia; Artiodactyla; Delphinidae
Exons: 4
Source: RefSeq, a predicted model, not a curated record
CCAGACCCGCCCGAAAAAGAAGCGCGCAAUUAGAGUCUGAAAGCUCAUAACGCAAAAGCUGCAGAGCUAAAAUCUGGUAUCUGAGAGUUAUUUAUCCACCAGCUCCGAGGCAGCGAGAAAGAGAGGAACUUAAGCGGCUUAAAGGUACUACUUGAAGGACUUCUCCAAGGACGGAAGAUUCUUUCUACCUCAUAAAAACCUGGAUGCCCCCAAAGGAGGAAAGAAAUGUGAAGUAUCAACUUUCAAAAAAUCACAUGAGAAUACUACUUCAAAAGAUGAGUUACUUGUUUUUCAGGCUCCGGACGCACAGGCUCAGCAGCCAUGGCUCACGGGCCCAGCCGCUCCACGGCAUGUGGGAUCCUCCCGGAUCCCCUGCACGAACCCGUAU